CCAAUAGCGUAUAUUAAAGUUGUUGCAGUUAAAAAGCUCGUAGUUGAACUUCGGGGUCUACCCAUUGGUCAGGCUUAAUUGUCUGUACUGGUGAGAUGGAUCUCUACCUUCUGAGGAACUUUCAUGCCAUUUAUUUGGUGUGAUUGGAAAUCAGGACUGUUACUUUGAAAAAAUUAGAGUGUUUAAAGCAGACUAUCGUCUGAAUACAUUAGCAUGGAAUAAUGAAAUAGGACGGACUGAUUCUAUUUCGUUGGUUUCUAGGAUCACCGUAAUGAUUAAUAGGGAUAGUUGGGGGCAUUAGUAUUCAAUUGUCAGAGGUGAAAUUCUUGGAUUUAUUGAAGACUAACUACUGCGAAAGCAUUUGCCAAGGAUGUUUUCAUUAAUCAAGAACGAAAGUUAGGGGAUCGAAGACGAUCAGAUACCGUCGUAGUCUUAACCAUAAACUAUGCCGACUAGGGAUCGGAUGAUGUUGAUUUUUUAAUGACUCAUUCGGCACCUUACG
Molecule: ribosomal RNA, 502 nt
Filed under: uncultured Glomeromycotina
Lineage: Eukaryota; Fungi; Glomeromycota
Description: partial small subunit ribosomal RNA
Rfam family: Eukaryotic small subunit ribosomal RNA
Source: RNAcentral